AAUAUUGCACAAUGGGCGAAAGCCUGAUGCAGCAACGCCGCGUGAGCGAUUAAUGCUUNAGGGUCNUNAAGCUCUGUCCUUAGGGNCAAUAAUGACGGUACCUUAGGAGGAAGACCCUGCUAACUACGUUCCAGCAGCCGCGGUAAUACGUAGGGGGCAAGCGUUAUCCGGAUUCAUUGGGCGUAAAGGGUGCGUAGGCGGCCCUAUAGGUCAGAGGUCAAAGGCUACGGCUCAAUCGUAGUAAGCCUUUGAAACUGUAGGGCUUGAGUGCAGGAGAGGAGAGUGGAAUUCCUAGUGUAGCGGUGAAAUGCAUAGAUAUUAGGAGGAACACCAGUGGCGAAGGCGACUCUCUGGACUGCAACUGACGCUGAGGCACGAAAGCGUGGGGAGCGAACA
RNAcentral lists this ribosomal RNA (396 nucleotides) under uncultured bacterium. RNAcentral's name for it is "partial 16S ribosomal RNA". It matches the Rfam family "Bacterial small subunit ribosomal RNA", at positions 360 to 774 of the family's 1533-position model. The record is from RNAcentral.